GGAAGGUAAAAGUCGUAACAAGGUCUCCGUUGGUGAACCAGCGGAGGGAUCAUUAAAGAGUUGCAAAACUCCCACAUACCAUUGUGAACGUACCCCGUAUCGUUGCUUCGGCGGUUGGCCUCUGGGCCUCUGCUCCGCUUGCGGGGCGCCUGCCGGAGGACACCUUAACUAUUGUUUAUUACCGGUCUCUCUGAGUAACUUACAAAUAAGUCAAAACUUUCAACAACGGAUCUCUUGGUUCUG
This 243-nucleotide unclassified non-coding RNA is filed under the name plant metagenome. Its description in RNAcentral is "partial contains small subunit ribosomal RNA, internal transcribed spacer 1, and 5.8S ribosomal RNA". The stretch from base 1 to 55 matches the Rfam family "Eukaryotic small subunit ribosomal RNA", at positions 1777 to 1831 of the family's 1831-position model. The record is from RNAcentral.